GGUUGGCAGUUUACCACCGGG
Molecule: unclassified non-coding RNA, 21 nt
Filed under: Mus musculus (house mouse)
Lineage: Eukaryota; Metazoa; Chordata; Mammalia; Rodentia; Muridae
Description: oocyte_clustered_small_RNA5649
Source: RNAcentral